RNAcentral lists this ribosomal RNA (460 nucleotides) under uncultured bacterium. Its description in RNAcentral is "partial 16S ribosomal RNA". It matches the Rfam family "Bacterial small subunit ribosomal RNA", at positions 338 to 795 of the family's 1533-position model. The record is from RNAcentral.
CCUACGGGAGGCAGCAGUGAGGAAUAUUGGUCCAUGGGCGCGAGCCUGAACCAGCCAAGUAGCGUGAAGGAUGACUGCCCUACGGGUUGUAAACUUCUUUUAUAAAGGAAUAAAGUGAGGCACGUGUGCCUUUUUGUAUGUACUUUAUGAAUAAGGAUCGGCUAACUCCGUGCCAGCAGCCGCGGUAAUACGGAGGAUCCGAGCGUUAUCCGGAUUUAUUGGGUUUAAAGGGAGCGUAGAUGGGUUGUUAAGUCAGUUGUGAAAGUUUGCGGCUCAACCGUAAAAUUGCAAUUGAUACUGGCAGCCUUGAGUACAGUUGAGGUAGGCGGAAUUCGUGGUGGAGCGGUGAAAUGCUUAGAUAUCACGAAGAACCCGGAUUGCGAAGGCAGCUUACUAAACUGCAACUGACGUUGAUGCUCGAAAGUGUGGGUAUCAAACAGGAUUAGAUACCCUAGUAGUC